AACGAACGCUGGCGGCAGGCCUAACACAUGCAAGUCGAACGCUGUAGCAAUACAGAGUGGCAGACGGGUGAGUAACGCGUGGGAACAUACCCUUUGGUUCGGAAUAACUCAGGGAAACUUGAGCUAAUACCGGAUAAGUGCGAAAGCAGAAAGAUUCAUCGCCGAAGGAUUGGCCCGCGUUCGAUUAGCUUGUUGGUGAGGUAACGGCUCACCAAGGCGACGAUCGANAGCUGGUCUGAGAGGAUGAUCAGCCACAUUGGGACUGAGACACGGCCCAAACUCCUACGGGAGGCAGCAGUGGGGAAUAUUGGACAAUGCGCGAAAGCGUGAUGCAGCAACGCCGCGU
Molecule: ribosomal RNA, 346 nt
Filed under: uncultured bacterium
Lineage: Bacteria
Description: bacterial SSU rRNA
Rfam family: Bacterial small subunit ribosomal RNA
Source: RNAcentral